CAUCACAAAAGGAUUUACAUUGAAAGUAAAGACAUGAUAUUACAUUCCAAAAUGGUAAUUCAUAAACAGGAGAAUUCCUACAUCUAACGAUCUGCAUCACCUCGUGGCAUACCUGUUUCAACAACAACCAUAUUAAUUAACUUUAUCAUUAUAUUAAUCUAAUAUUAAAUAAUUACUCUUAACCUUUGAAAUUUAGUACUUCCACUUCAAUCUAACUUACUCCUAUAAUUUACAUAAUCUUUUUAGGAUUUAAAAAUCCCACUAAUUCCUCUUAAUUACCAAAUACAUCUAACACUUCCAUAUAGAUACCCAAAAUUCAUUUUUUUCUUCCUCGGUUACCAAUAGACCCAGUAAUUCCAUUCGAAUUACCUAUCAUCCAGCUAACCUCUUUUGUUAGCCAAUCAAUCCGGUAAUUCCAUAUGAAUUACUCCUUAUCCAGUUAACCUCUUUGUUAACCAAUAAACCCGUAAUUCUCUUUAUUACCCAAAAAUCCGACUAACCCAUUUCGGUUAGCAAAAUCAAUCCGGUAAUUCCAUAUGAAUCACCCAGUAUCCGGCUAAUCUCUUUUGUUAGCCAAUCAAUCCGGUAAUUCCAUUCGAAUUACCUAGCAUCCGACUAAUCUCUUGUAUUAGUCAAACAAUCCGGUAAUUCCAUACGAAUUACCCCAUAUCCGGUUAACCUCUUUGUUAACCAAUAAAACCGGUAAUUUCACAUAAUCAUAACUCAAAUUAUUCCUUUGCUCCAUUCAUUUAAUAUCAAUUAAAUAAGCAACAUAGAUAAUUAGGAAAACUAAAAAUCACAAAAUGAGGUGACGAAUUCACCUACCUUCUGUUCGGGAUGACCCAGCUCCUCCUGUCUGAUAACCAGCUCCAGACACAACUCCUGAAUCAAUCAAGUGUCAUUAUAUCAUUAGUCCAUCAAUAUUUUUUUCUUAUGUGCCGAAACAUAAAGCACAUAAUAUUUUUAUUAGUAAUUUGUUCUAAUAAAAAUUCAUUCUCAAAUAUAACAUCAUUAUUUUACAUACAACCUCAUAUUUAACUCAAGUUACUUCUUUGUUUUCUCUAUGUUCAUAAUUCCUCCAUCGAAUAAUUCUUCUAUUCUUUAUACCCUCACAUCAUAUUAUUUAUUUUAUUUAAAUACUAUAUUCAAACACAAUCUAGGCAUCUUGUCUUCAUAUUUUCUUUUAACUAGUUUAUUUCUCUUUUAAUUUGAAUUUACAUAUUAUUAUUUUCUCAACUUAAAUGCUAUCUCUUCAUUUAGUCUUUCUUACAUUUUCAUUUAUCAUGAUUAAACAUGGUUUUUUUCUAAACAUUAACAUCAAAACUCAUUCUCCCAUUUUUUUUUUUUUCCCUUCAUUGGCCGAAUGUGAUGGUUCUUUUUCCUCCCCCAAAUCUUUCUUCAUUUACUUGUUAUUUCAACUUGUUUUCAUUCUAUUCCUCUUCAAUUUCAUCAUUUUCCCUUCCCCUCCUAAUUCCCCCAAAUUCACAUAAGAACCCUAAGUUCAAUAAUCUAGGAUUUAAGGGAAACUAAGGUAAAGUUCCAUGAAAUUACUUCCUAAUUUAAUCAAAUAAGCUUAGGAAAAACAUCUAAACCAACAUUAAAUCCAAACUUCUCAUGCUUACCUAUUGCUUUUCUUCCAAUUUCUCUUCUCUUCCAAGGUUAGCUGAAUUCCCCUUCUCAAAUCCUCCUUCCUUCACUUGAUUUAGUGUUUUAUAGGUUUAACUUGCAAGUUUAUAAAGCUAUUCUCUCAAUUUCCUUAUUGUUUUUCCUUACUUUUCUCUCUAUCUCUCACGUUAUGCUCUGUUUUUCUUUUCAUCUUUUUGUUUCUG
RNAcentral lists this long non-coding RNA (1829 nucleotides) under Populus tremula. RNAcentral describes it as "long non-coding RNA (PTRE_LNC003457)". The record is from RNAcentral. Lineage: Eukaryota; Viridiplantae; Streptophyta; Magnoliopsida; Malpighiales; Salicaceae.